UCGUUAGUACUUGCAUGGGAGACCGCCUGGGAAUACCA
Ribosomal RNA from Sinocyclocheilus rhinocerous, 38 nucleotides. Lineage: Eukaryota; Metazoa; Chordata; Actinopteri; Cypriniformes; Cyprinidae. The record is from Ensembl.